Molecule: ribosomal RNA, 492 nt
Filed under: uncultured bacterium
Lineage: Bacteria
Description: partial 16S ribosomal RNA
Rfam family: Bacterial small subunit ribosomal RNA
Source: RNAcentral
AGUGAACGCUGGCGGUAGGCCUAACACAUGCAAGUCGAACGGCAACACAGUAAGAGCUUGCUCUUACGGGUGGCGGGUGGCGGACGGGUGACGAAUACAUCGGAAUCUACUUUUUCGGGGGGGAUAACGUAGGGAAACUUACGCUAAUACCGCAUACGUCCUACGGCUGAAAGCAGUGGAUCUUCGGACCUUUCGCGAUUGAAUGAGCCGAUGUCGGAUUAGCUAGUUGGUGGGGUAAGGGCCCACCAAGGCGACGAUCCGUAGCUGGUCUGAGAGGAUGAUCAGCCACACUGGAACUGAGACACGGUCCAGACUCCUACGGGAGGCAGCAGUGGGGAAUAUUCGACAAUGGGCGCAAGCCUGAUCCAGCCAUACCGCGUGGGUGAAGAAGGCCUUCGGGUUGUAAAGCUCUGUUGUUAGGGAAGAAAAGCAGCAGAAUAAUCCCUCGCCGUUCUGACGGUACCCAAAGAGUAAGCACCGGCUAACUUCGUG